Molecule: long non-coding RNA, 250 nt
Filed under: Ictidomys tridecemlineatus (thirteen-lined ground squirrel)
Lineage: Eukaryota; Metazoa; Chordata; Mammalia; Rodentia; Sciuridae
Description: lncRNA (ENSSTOG00000034385.1)
Source: RNAcentral
CAGUGGGGGGCAAGGUGCUCAUCUCUGUGGUUGGAUUUGACAGGGCCGAGACCAGUCGAGAGGAAUCCGAGUUCCUGGGAAAGACGAGAGGGACCGGAGCCAGGGCAGGAGCCCGCGGUAAGGAGAGAAGGGUGUGGCUUUGAGAAAGAUGGAGGAGGUAGAGCUGGAAACACAGAGGCGACCUGGAGCAGGAGAGCCAGCAUUCUGGGAUAUUAAACCUUGAGAUUCUCACAGUUAGAAGAAGUAGUUC